UGAGGGAAUAUUUGGGUCAAUGGGCGGAAGCCUGAACCAGCCAAGUAGCGUGAGGGAUGACUGCCCUAUGGGUUGUAAACCUCUUUUAUAAGGGAAUAAAAUACGGGACGUGUCCUGUUUUGCAUGUACCUUAUGAAUAAGGACCGGCUAAUUCCGUGCCAGCAGCCGCGGUAAUACGGAAGGUCCGGGCGUUAUCCGGAUUUAUUGGGUUUAAAGGGAGCGUAGGCCGGAGAUUAAGCGUGUUGUGAAAUGUAGUGGCUCAACCUCUGCACUGCAGCGCGAACUGGUCUUCUUGAGUACGCACAACGUGGGCGGAAUUCGUGGUGUAGCGGUGAAAUGCUUAGAUAUCACGAAGAACUCCGAUUGC
This 367-nucleotide ribosomal RNA is filed under the name uncultured Prevotella sp. RNAcentral describes it as "bacterial SSU rRNA". It matches the Rfam family "Bacterial small subunit ribosomal RNA", at positions 352 to 716 of the family's 1533-position model. The record is from RNAcentral. Lineage: Bacteria; Pseudomonadati; Bacteroidota; Bacteroidia; Bacteroidales; Prevotellaceae.